UUUAACAGUUUGCUUUUGCCUCUUUCCGAAAGCUUACGCGUCAUAUUCUUGUAACAGAUGCUACUUGGACCAGAAAUAAUUUCGAUUGCACUAGUUGCAAUUAAGGCACUUAUAAAAGUUGUGCUUAUCUUAUGAACCAUCAAUUAAUUAUUAAUUAAUUUAUAUAUUUGAAUACAAAUCUCAAAAUAUGACCAAAUCAAAAGCGACGUAUGAACUGAUACCUCCCGAUGGUGGAUGGGGCUACGCUGUAACAUUCGCUCUCUCCAUAAUGAUGACAUCGACUAUCGUGCCCAUUUCGUCUUUCGCUUUAGUUUUCGGAAAUUAUUUAGCAACGUUUACUGACGAAACGUAUGCUACUGCCAUCGUAAGUUCCCUGUUUGGAACAAUACUUCAUAUCACAGGUAAUUUUAUUAUUUGUUUUUU
Long non-coding RNA from Agrilus planipennis (emerald ash borer), 423 nucleotides. RefSeq lists it as uncharacterized. Lineage: Eukaryota; Metazoa; Arthropoda; Insecta; Coleoptera; Buprestidae. The record is from RefSeq and is a predicted model, not a curated record. The transcript has 3 exons.